This 61-nucleotide transfer RNA is filed under the name Rhyzopertha dominica (lesser grain borer). RNAcentral's name for it is "tRNA-Cys". Lineage: Eukaryota; Metazoa; Arthropoda; Insecta; Coleoptera; Bostrichidae. The record is from RNAcentral.
GGUCUUAUAUUCAAAAUGAUUUUAAAUUGCAAAUUUAAAGGUGAGUUAAGCUCUAAGGCUU